UGCCAGACUCCUACGGGAGGCAGCAGUAGGGAAUCUUUCACAAUGGGCGAAAGCCUGAUGGAGCAACGCCGCGUGCAGGAUGAAGGCCUUCGGGUUGUAAACUGCUUUUAUAAGCGAGAAAUAUGAUGGUAACUUAUGAAUAAGGAUCGGCUAACUACGUGCCAGCAGCCGCGGUCAUACGUAGGAUCCGAGCAUUAUCCGGAGUGACUGGGUGUAAAGGGAGCGCAGGCGGCCUUGCAAGUCUGAUGUGAAAGGCCGGGGCCCAACCCCGGGACUGCAUUGGAAACUGCGAGGCUGGAGUGUCGGAGAGGCAGGCGGAAUUCCUAGUGUAGCGGUGAAAUGCGUAGAUAUUAGGAGGAACACCAGUGGCGAAGGCGGCCUGCUGGACGAUGACUGACGCUGAGGCUCGAAAGCGUGGGGAGCAAACAGGAUUAGAUACCCCAGUA
Molecule: ribosomal RNA, 446 nt
Filed under: uncultured bacterium
Lineage: Bacteria
Description: partial 16S ribosomal RNA
Rfam family: Bacterial small subunit ribosomal RNA
Source: RNAcentral